AUGCCUGGGCAGGGGGAAGAGCUGGGAGGAGGCUGGGGAACUUGGCACCCCAUGGAUAAGGCAGGAAGGAGCUUGGUACUGGAGGGUUUGGGCAGAAAGUUCCCCAGAGGGAUGGGAAUAGGGAUGAGCUUGGGAUGCAUUAGAACAGGAGCUCAUUGCCAAAAGCGAUUCUUUUCCUUUCCUUUCCUUUCCUUCCUUCCUUCCUUCCUUCCUUCUUUCUUUCUUUCUUUCUUUCUUUCUUUCUUUCUUUCUUUCUUUCUUUCUUUCUUUCUUUCUUUCUUUCUUCCUUCCUUCCUUCCUUCCUCCUUCCUUCCUUCCUUCCUUCCUUCCUUCCUUCCUUCCUUCCUUCCUUCCUUCCUUCCUUCUUUCUUUCUUUCUUUCUUUCUUUCUUUCUUUCUUUCUUUCUUUCUUUCUUUCUUUCUUUCUUUCUUUCUUUCUUUCUUUCUUUCUUUCUUUCUUUCUUUCUUUCUUUCUUUCUUUCUUUCUUUCUUUCUUUCUUUCCUUCUUCCUUUCUUUCUUCCUUUCUCUUUCUUUUCUUUUUCUUUCUUUGCUGUCUUUUUAUGUCCAAGCCUAGCAUCUAGAAGGCACUUGACAAAUGUGGGCAAGUUGCCUUUAGGGGCUGGCAUCCUCCCACUUCCUGCUCCAUUCUCUUCCCAUCUCCUUGGUUCCUGCCUUAUACCUGACCCCCAAGCCUUCCUCUGGCUCUGGGUUUGGGUGAGCCUGGUACCUCAGGUCCAUCUCCUGGGUGUCCCCACAGUACUCUUCCCUCCUGACCCAGAGAGGCUACAAGUCCAGGCCUGAGCAGAGAACUUCCAGGUAAUAACACAGAGGGAAGGGCUAAACAGGAACAAGCUUGCCAAUGGAAUCAAAGAAGAGGGGCCCUGAGACUCCAAGCCUGGGAGCUUCCGGUGAAAAAGACCAAGGGCCCAGAGAAACCAGCAGGGGUGAUUGUACCCCUGGGGUCUAGCCCAUAACAGGGCCAAGCAGCACCCUCUCAGGGACUCCUGGGAGGCAGAGAAAAACUGUACAAGAAUGUAGCUUUGGGGGCAGCUUGGUAGCUCAGUGGAUUGAGAGCCAGGCCUCCAGUCUCAGACAUCUUCUAACUGUGAGACCCUGGGCAAGUCACUUAACCCCCACUGCCUAGUCUUUGCUGCU
Molecule: long non-coding RNA, 1155 nt
Filed under: Monodelphis domestica (gray short-tailed opossum)
Lineage: Eukaryota; Metazoa; Chordata; Mammalia; Didelphimorphia; Didelphidae
Description: lncRNA (ENSMODG00000041966.1)
Source: RNAcentral